Molecule: transfer RNA, 55 nt
Filed under: Ligilactobacillus apodemi DSM 16634 = JCM 16172
Lineage: Bacteria; Bacillati; Bacillota; Bacilli; Lactobacillales; Lactobacillaceae
Description: Lactobacillus apodemi DSM 16634 = JCM 16172 tRNA
Rfam family: tRNA
About the family: Transfer RNA (tRNA) molecules are approximately 80 nucleotides in length.
Source: Rfam by way of RNAcentral
GGGGCUUUAGCUCAGCUGGGAGAGCGCCUGCUUUGCACGCAGGAGGUCAACGGUU